UACGGAGGGGGGCUAGCGUUGUUCGGAAUUACUGGGCGUAAAGCGCACGUAGGCGGCUUUGUAAGUUAGAGGUGAAAGCCCGGGGCUCAACUCCGGAAUUGCCUUUAAGACUGCAUCGCUAGAAUUGUGGAGAGGUAAGUGGAAUUCCGAGUGUAGAGGUGAAAUUCGUAGAUAUUCGGAAGAACACCGGUGGCGAAGGCGGGUCUCUGGGGCCGAUACUGACGCUGAGGAGCGAAAGCGUGGGGGAGCGAACAGG
Molecule: ribosomal RNA, 256 nt
Filed under: uncultured bacterium
Lineage: Bacteria
Description: partial 16S ribosomal RNA
Rfam family: Bacterial small subunit ribosomal RNA
Source: RNAcentral